GAUGAACGCUGGCGGCGUGCUUGACACAUGCAAGUCGAACGAAGCACUUUAUUUGAUUUCCUUCGGGACUGAUUAUUUUGUGACUGAGUGGCGGACGGGUGAGUAACGCGUGGGUAACCUGCCUUGUACAGGGGGAUAACAGUUGGAAACGGCUGCUAAUACCGCAUAAGCGCACGGCAUCGCAUGAUGCAGUGUGAAAAACUCCGGUGGUAUAAGAUGGACCCGCGUUGGAUUAGCUAGUUGGUGAGGUAACGGCCCACCAAGGCGACGAUCCAUAGCCGACCUGAGAGGGUGACCGGCCACAUUGGGACUGAGACACGGCCCAAACUCCUACGGGAGGCAGCAGUGGGGAAUAUUGCACAAUGGGCGAAAGCCUGAUGCAGCGACGCCGCGUGAGCGAAGAAGUAUUUCGGUAUGUAAAGCUCUAUCAGCAGGGAAGAUAAUGACGGUACCUGACUAAGAAGCACCGGCUAAAUACGUG
Molecule: ribosomal RNA, 481 nt
Filed under: uncultured bacterium
Lineage: Bacteria
Description: partial 16S ribosomal RNA
Rfam family: Bacterial small subunit ribosomal RNA
Source: RNAcentral